AUUGAACGCUGGCGGCAUGCCUUACACAUGCAAGUCGAACGGCAGCACGGGAGCAAUCCUGGUGGCGAGUGGCGAACGGGUGAGUAAUGUAUCGGAACGUACCUUUCAGUGGGGGAUAACGUAGCGAAAGUUACGCUAAUACCGCAUAUUCUGUGAGCAGGAAAGCAGGGGAUCGCAAGACCUUGCGCUGAUUGAGCGGCCGAUAUCAGAUUAGCUAGUUGGUGAGGUAAAGGCUCACCAAGGCGACGAUCUGUAGCGGGUCUGAGAGGAUGAUCCGCCACACUGGAACUGAGACACGGUCCAGACUCCUACGGGAGGCAGCAGUGGGGAAUUUUGGACAAUGGGCGCAAGCCUGAUCCAGCCAUGCCGCGUGAGUGAAGAAGGCCUUCGGUUGU
RNAcentral lists this ribosomal RNA (395 nucleotides) under uncultured bacterium. RNAcentral describes it as "bacterial SSU rRNA". It matches the Rfam family "Bacterial small subunit ribosomal RNA", at positions 30 to 426 of the family's 1533-position model. The record is from RNAcentral.